UACGUAGGGGGCAAGCGUUGUCCGGAAUCAUUGGGCGUAAAGCGCGCGCAGGCGGUCCUUUAAGUCUGAUGUGAAGGCCCACGGCUCAACCGUGGAGGGUCAUUGGAAACUGGGGGACUUGAGUACAGAAGAGAAGAGUGGAAUUCCACGUGUAGCGGUGAAAUGCGUAGAGAUGUGGAGGAACACCAGUGGCGAAGGCGACUCUUUGGUCUGUAACUGACGCUGAGGCGCGAAAGCGUGGGGAGCAAACAGG
This 253-nucleotide ribosomal RNA is filed under the name uncultured bacterium. RNAcentral's name for it is "partial 16S ribosomal RNA". It matches the Rfam family "Bacterial small subunit ribosomal RNA", at positions 524 to 776 of the family's 1533-position model. The record is from RNAcentral.